This 30-nucleotide non-coding RNA is filed under the name Mus musculus (house mouse). The record is from RNAcentral. Lineage: Eukaryota; Metazoa; Chordata; Mammalia; Rodentia; Muridae.
UGAGUGAGUUGGUGAGCCAAAGAGGUCACU